This 406-nucleotide ribosomal RNA is filed under the name uncultured bacterium. RNAcentral's name for it is "bacterial SSU rRNA". It matches the Rfam family "Bacterial small subunit ribosomal RNA", at positions 354 to 777 of the family's 1533-position model. The record is from RNAcentral.
GUGGGGAAUAUUGCACAAUGGGGGAAACCCUGAUGCAGCGACGCCGCGUGAGCGAUGAAGUAUUUCGGUAUGUAAAGCUCUAUCAGCAGGGAAGAUAAUGACGGUACCUGACUAAGAAGCUCCGGCUAAAUACGUGCCAGCAGCCGCGGUAAUACGUAUGGAGCAAGCGUUAUCCGGAUUUACUGGGUGUAAAGGGAGCGUAGGCGGUCCUGCAAGUCUGAUGUGAAAGGCCGGGGCUCAACCCCGGGACUGCAUUGGAAACUGUAGGACUAGAGUGUCGGAGGGGUAAGUGGAAUUCCUAGUGUAGCGGUGAAAUGCGUAGAUAUUAGGAGGAACACCAGUGGCGAAGGCGGCUUACUGGACGACUACUGACGCUGAGGCUCGAAAGCGUGGGGAGCAAACAGGA